Long non-coding RNA from Gasterosteus aculeatus aculeatus (three-spined stickleback), 2588 nucleotides. The record is from Ensembl. NCBI's taxonomy places the organism in Eukaryota, Metazoa, Chordata, Actinopteri, Perciformes, Gasterosteidae.
AUACUUGAUGUGCAUGUAAGCUAUUGAAAUAGAGUAUAUAGUACUGUGUUGAAGUUGUGUUCCCCUUUUAUUGAAUGUGUUCUUGAGUAUCUGUUAUGUGCCAUGACUUACAUUUCUAAUGUCACAACUACAAUCCACCAGGAGCUUUGGCAGUCAUGCCUUUUCUGGUCAAAUCAUAAUUUUUUAUCAAUCUGCCAUGUUUACAGUUAAAGCAGUGCCUUGGAGCUGGGAAGGUGAAAGAUUUAUUGAUUGGUUAUGACCCCCCCCCCCACACACACACACACACACACACAUAAUAACACUAAAGCCAACACACCAAUGAUAGACUUUUCGCACCACGUACUAUACAUGGCCUAAAAAUGAUUAUUGGAUAAUAAUCCAUGCAGGACAGUGAAAUUAUUACAUGUCCAAAUAAUCCAGUGAAAAGGAUCUUCUCUCGGGGGGAGCGAGCACAGUGAAAAGCCAUACUUAUGAAACGUGUUUGUAGAGAAACGAGUCAAAUUCAACUGUGUGUAAUGUCUGCUCAGAAAAUGUAGGUUCUUCCAGCGAAGACGACCGAAGCGCUUAUUCUUAGAUGAUGUUGAUUGCGUAAUCUUGUAGUGAGGAAAGUAGCUUGAUAUAUUCUAAAAAGCCUAUUUUAUGAAAUGUGUAAAUUAGUCUAUAUUGAGAAAUCAAAGUGAAUGUACAUCUAUGAGACAGAUUUGUAUUUAUAUGAACAUGUGUACUUCUCUAAUCAUAAGCACAACGUAUUUUACGGCGGAUAUCAAAGCUAUAAUUAGGUGUGACAGAGAGAUGGUGUUUUGUUUUCUCACAUGUAGAAAUGAGGUUGUUUGUUGUUGGCAGCAGGGUGAAUGCUCGAGGUGACUCACAGGUUACCGUCCGGCCUCCGAGGGGAAGGCGACGGGCUGAAGCUGCGUUCACGUGGUGCGUUCGGGGUGUGACGCAGUCGUUCACUGUUCGCUUUGGUAUUGAAUCACAAAAAGGCAGCAUUUAGAAAGUCAGAAGCGUUUAGUUAACAAAUUACACACAAGAAAACUGAUCAGUUAUCAUUUCUUGACUACUUGAUUUGGAAUUCAUUUUGUUACCAGGUGUCCUUCAAAAGGAACUCACUGAUCUUACACAUCAGAGUCUGUUUACAGGAAGUACUACUGCUUAUGUGGAAGAGUUUGGAUUUGGGAAGAAAUUAACUCCUCAGCCACUACUUGCACAACGUAACCCAAUGUCUGAGCAACUGUGUGCAGUGGCAGUGCAUUGUUGAUCAUUUAGGAAUUUUAUUUUAGCGAAGCAAGAGCGGUGUCCUGCAUCCAUUUCUGUACAUUAUUUUUUUUCUGUGAUAUAUUCCAAAAUUAAAUUUGUGUUUGUAAUUCAGAAGUGGUUCCCACACACUAAACCCAGAGUGACGUUCAGACAUUUCAUGUUUGCAACAUCUCAGGCGUUGCCUGGCAACAUCACUCAGUGCACUUCAGUGUACCAAUGAAAUGGAAACAGACUGGUGUGUAAAAUCAGUGUAGAAUUGCCUGAUAUCAAGUUUAUUUGAAUUACUUUUUAUGUAUUUCUACCUUUUUUGCUUUGGUGUACAAGCUCAGUGAGGCACACCAAACUAAUUCAUUUUCUGUUUAAGAUUUUCUUAAGAUAAAGAAAAAUACCAUAGCAACAUAUUAAAUUCUUCUCCAUUGUCUGAUUAAAAGCUCUUGCUCGAUUUCAUGUGUCUCAGCAAUGCUGUGAAGUUGUGAUGAACAUCAACUCGUCGUUCUUAGGUGAGGUAAUAGGCAGUCACCAUUUUGUUUCUGGCAGUCGCUUCAAAUGGUGAACUUGUCCUAUUUCGUGCACCAGCGUUUCAAUUUGUAACACAGCUCUUGUUACAAUACCUCUUACACAAAAGAACCUCCCAACUGAGUGAGUGUCUUUCUGAGCAUGAGCACGGACGGAUUCGAUGGCUAAAUUCAUGGAACAGCACCAGGAUUCAGAAAGAUUGCAAGGGUUGCAGCUGGAGCCCUCGGAUGACAUUUCUUUUAAUAAGCAAUAUAAGCAUUUAAAAAAAAAAAAAAAAUCCGAACCGUGUCCCUCUCCAUGCGGCCGACAGGCAGCGCUUCUUCAGUGGCCUUUGGCGGACUGAAUGUGGGCUGGUUUGUGCGCGGCUUGUUGUUCAGUACUUGGUACUAAAAGAAAUGCUCCUCCUUCUUGCUUCGCUAUGAUGAAAUACGAGGAACUGCCUUCAGUGAACUCAAGUACCGAUAGUUAAUAUUGUGAUGAGGCCCUCCAUAUAUCUUUUUAUUUGUUAUGGUUAACGUAUGAAUGGAUUAGCAGCUGGGAGUGAGGCCGAUCAAACUGGAGCUCUAAAACCAUGUGGAUUCUUGGACAGAACGACAAUCUAUUAUUUUUUUCAAUAACUUUUUUUUUUUCUUUUUCUUUUCGUAAGACUUUAAACAUGUUUGCAAUGUUGUAGUGUGCGCGCGUCUGUUACUUGUGAGAGAAUAACUCCAGAUUGUAUUAAAUGGACUGAUCAACUUUAAACUUUCAAAAGAUUGUGUUAUGAAUUCAUGUCUUAAUACAAAUUGUUUGAAAAAAUAAAGUACCUUUUAAUCUCA